AGCGGGGAGAAGCGCGACUGGGGUCGUGGCGGAUGGUUAGACGGGCUCGCCUGCGGCUACUUGCAGCUUGUGUGGAAACCGCAGAUAGGGAGCGGGAGCCCUUCGCGAGCCGGUGUGAAACUGCUGCGGUCGGCGACGCUGGGCUCGGAGCGCUCGAGCGAACGGAGGGUUGAGGGGUCUCCCCACCCACUGGAGGCUCUCGGCGGGGCGGGGCUAAUUCUGCGCGCCCGAGGCUCCCCUCCGCCCAGGAGAGCGCGUCCUGAGCGCCGGCGUCUUCCCCGGAAGGGCCAGACGGAUCCAGGGCGCCUCCCCGGCUGGGUGCGAGUUCUCGGGCGCUAAACUGAGAACAAAGCUUCCAGAGAGGCAGCGCCCCUCGGCGGCCGCGCCCCGCCCAGUCGCGGAGGCCAUUGAUAAGAGUGAGGGCGACUGCGCCUCGUGCGCCAGGCCAAGCCUGGCCUUCCAGAAACGCCCCUGAGAAAUGAGCUCAUGCUGGCUGCGCGCGCUCCUCGGGCGCGACUGCCCAGCGCAGAACGGGCCCCAAAAGCAGGGCUCAUCAGGUGGUGCCUUGCAAAGAUCAGUGAUUCUGAGCCACAGUAACCAACCAGAGGACUAGAAAAAGAUGAAUAUAGGAAAGCUGGGUGAUACAGAACAGGGACACGGGUUCGAACCGUGGACCAGGAAGAUUCCUACAAGCCGCAGAGCAACUAAGCCCAUGCGCCACAACUACUGAAGCCCACGCGCCCGUGCUCCACAACGAGAGGCCACCGCAAUGAGAAGCCCACGCACUGCAACAAAGAGUAGCCCCCGCUCACCACAACUAGAGAAAGCCUGCGCACAGCAACGAAGACCCAAUGCAGCCAAAAAUAAAUUAAUUAAUUUUAAAAAAAGUAUUGGACUUUAAAUAAUACUGUUUUAAAAUAUUGCUUAUUAUGCCUGUUAUCCUUUUUUA
Molecule: long non-coding RNA, 949 nt
Organism: Eubalaena glacialis (North Atlantic right whale)
Lineage: Eukaryota; Metazoa; Chordata; Mammalia; Artiodactyla; Balaenidae
Exons: 3
Source: RefSeq, a predicted model, not a curated record